AAGGCGGGGUCUCGACACCGCCUCUCGGCCGCGCUCGACGGGAAUCGAAACCGAAGGCACGGGCGGGGCCAGCGGCUCGGGUCGCUCUGGGGGCAGGGAUCUGCCAAGCGUGGAGGCCUUCUUGGGUGAACGUCACACGCAAGAAGUGAUUGAAAGUUCCAGUGAAAACAUACAUUUCUGCAUUAAUCCAUUCAGAAAUCUGGACUACUGGCUUGAGGAGUUUUGCAGGAACAGUAUUAACAGUAUGGAGCAGUAAAGUGAAGCACUGCAAGCAGAAAGAAACCACAAAUGCAGUCUUGGCAAGCAGGUUCUAUUCUCCACUUAAAUACAGUCAAUAAGUGUUUUGGAUCAGGCCCGAGUAAAAGCAAACAAAGAAA
Molecule: long non-coding RNA, 377 nt
Organism: Serinus canaria (Common canary)
Lineage: Eukaryota; Metazoa; Chordata; Aves; Passeriformes; Fringillidae
Exons: 2
Source: RefSeq, a predicted model, not a curated record